RNAcentral lists this long non-coding RNA (1086 nucleotides) under Bos indicus x Bos taurus (hybrid cattle). RNAcentral's name for it is "lncRNA (ENSBIXG00000003023.1)". Lineage: Eukaryota; Metazoa; Chordata; Mammalia; Artiodactyla; Bovidae. The record is from RNAcentral.
CCUCUCUUGACGGUGGGAGGAGCUGCCAGGCCCGCACCGCGCGCUUCUCCUGCGGCCACCGCCCCCGGGGCGACCAGAGGUGGUAAUGGACUCUUUGUGAAAAAUGAAGAAUUACGGCUUGAGUCCGCACUGUGCACGCGCACGUGCCUGUCAGAGGAGAGGCAACCCUACCCUGAACGAAUGUGUUGCCGCCGGGGACUCGGCCGCGGUUCACAGAAGUGAUGGGUGCGCGGCGCCAGGGUCCCGGCUCAGCCGGGCAGAGGGCGGGGCGGGGAAGAAUGAUGCGAUCCUCCGCGUCCGCAGUCUGCACGUGGACGCCGGGCUGCUGGGGGCCGGGACUGCGCUUCGCAGAGCACAGCGAUCCACCGUGUGCCUCGGCGCCCUCGGAGGUGCUGGUCACCCAGACCCCGUGGGACGGUGCAGAUGCCCUCGGCUUGAGCAACUUCAGUGCUGGGUUACCAAGACACACCAGCUUCCAGGCUGCUGAUCUUUCUGGAAAGUUUUUUAACUGUGGAGGAGAAAGGAAACCUUAUAGUUUUAGAAGCUGGAACUGCCUCGAGGGCGAGGCAAAAAGGUGGAGGGGACUGGAGGAACAUAUAAGGUCCUAAGGGCUUCUGAACCCCAACCAGGUCAGCUCAGAAUGGCUUCAGCCAACAUGCCCCAUGGAAGGGAAGAAGCAGUAAGUAGUAACUCAUGUUUAUAGAGCACUUUAUACUGUACUAAGUGCUUUCAUAUUUGUUAAUGUCUUUGAUCUUCAUCACCACCUCCUUUAGGUUAAGUAUUAGCUCACGUCUUUGGACAAGGACAAGUCAGAAGGUGAGAGGGAAGGUAGGAAAAACAUUUGAAAAGAACAGGAAGGAGGACCUGCUUGUUGGUUCAUUCAUGCACUCAUUGCACAAAUAUUUAUUGGCUACCACAGUGUGUCAGCUGGGGAGACAACAGUUAAUGAGGGCAGUCAUGGUCUUAAGUCCUUUAUGAGCUUAGAGUCUAGCAAACAUUUCUUCACUACCUGCCCCUGGCAAAGCACUAUUGGUGAAAUCCAAGUGUGCAUCAGCCUGCUUACCGGAAGGUUUUCCAGGUCUGAAA